AGCAGCCGCGGUAAUUCCAGCUCCAAUAGCGUAUAUUAAAGUUGCUGCAGUUAAAAAGCUCGUAGUUGAAUUUCGGGACCAUCAUGUUGGUCGUGCCUCGGUACGUACUGGCAUUGUUGGUUUCUCCCUUCUGACGAACCAUGAUGUCAUUUAUUUGGUGUUGUGGGAAAUCAGGACUGUUACUUUGAAAAAUUAGAGUGUUUAAAGCAGGCUCACGCUUGAAUACAUUAGCAUGGAAUAAUGAAAUAGGACGUUUGAUUCUAUUUUGUUGGUUUCUAGGAUCGACGUAAUGAUUAAUAGGGAUAGUUGGGGGCAUUAGUAUUCAAUUGUCAGAGGUGAAAUUCUUGGAUUUAUUGAAGACUAACUACUGCGAAAGCAUUUGCCAAGGAUGUUUUCAUUAAUCAAGAACGAAAGUUAGGGGAUCGAAGACGAUCAGAUACCGUCGUAGUCUUAACCAUAAACUAUGCCGACUAGGGAUCGGAUGAUGUUAUUUUUAAUGA
This 500-nucleotide ribosomal RNA is filed under the name uncultured Glomus. Its description in RNAcentral is "SSU rRNA". It matches the Rfam family "Eukaryotic small subunit ribosomal RNA", at positions 569 to 1074 of the family's 1831-position model. The record is from RNAcentral. Lineage: Eukaryota; Fungi; Glomeromycota; Glomeromycetes; Glomerales; Glomeraceae.